AGUCAAGUAAUUAAGUGCAUGUGGUGGAUGCCUUGGCAGUCAGAGGCGAUGAAAGACGUGAUAGCCUGCGAAAAGCUCCGGGGAGGCGGCAAAUAUCCUUUGAUCCGGAGAUGUCUGAAUGGGGGAACCCACCUACUUUAAGGUAGGUAUUGCAACAUGAAUACAUAGUGUUGCAAGGCGAACGAGGGGAAGUGAAACAUCUCAGUACCCUUAGGAAAAGAAAUCAAUUGAGAUUCCCUCAGUAGCGGCGAGCGAACGGGGAUCAGCCCAUUAAGUUAUGUGUGUUUUAGUGGAACGCUCUGGGAAGUGCGAACGUAGAGGGUGAUAUUCCCGUACACGAAAGGGCACACAUAAUGAUGACGAGUAGGGCGAGGCACGUGAAACCUUGUCUGAAUAUGGGGGGACCAUCCUCCAAGGCUAAAUACUCCUGACUGACCGAUAGUGAACCAGUACCGUGAGGGAAAGGCGAAAAGAACCCCUGUGAGGGGAGUGAAAUAGAUCCUGAAACCGCAUGCAUACAAGCAGUGGGAGCACCUUCGUGGUGUGACUGCGUACCUUUUGUAUAAUGGGUCAGCGACUUAUAUUCAGUAGCGAGGUUAACCGUAUAGGGGAGCCGUAGAGAAAUCGAGUCUUAAUAGGGCGUUUAGUUGCUGGGUAUAGACCCGAAACCAGGCGAUCUAUCCAUGAGCAGGUUGAAGGUUGGGUAACACUAACUGGAGGACCGAACCCACUGUCGUUGAAAAGCCAGGGGAUGACUUGUGGAUAGGGGUGAAAGGCUAAUCAAGCCUGGUGAUAGCUGGUUCUCCCCGAAAGCUAUUUAGGUAGCGCCUCGGACGAAUACCAUAGGGGGUAGAGCACUGUUUCGGCUAGGGGGUCAUCCCGACUUACCAAACCGAUGCAAACUCCGAAUACCUAUGAGUACUAUCCGGGAGACAGACUGCGGGUGCUAACGUCCGUAGUCAAGAGGAAAACAAUCCAGACCGCCAGCUAAGGCCCCAAAAUCAUAGUUAAGUGGGAAACGAUGUGGGAAGGCAUAGACAGCUAGGAGGUUGGCUUAGAAGCAGCCACCCUUUAAAGAAAGCGUAAUAGCUCACUAGUCGAGUCGGCCUGCGCGGAAGAUGUAACGGGGCUAAAACUAUGUGCCGAAGCUGCGGAUGUAUACUUUGUAUACGUGGUAGGGGAGCGUUCUGUAAGCCGAUGAAGGUGUGUUGAGAAGCAUGCUGGAGGUAUCAGAAGUGCGAAUGCUGACGUGAGUAACGACAAAACGGGUGAAAAACCCGUUCGCCGAAAGACCAAGGGUUCCAGUCCAACGUUAAUCGGGGCUGGGUGAGUCGACCCCUAAGGCGAGGCCGAAAGGCGUAGUCGAUGGGAAAAUGGUUAAUAUUCCAUUACUUCUGUGUAAUGCGAUGAGAGGACGGAGAAGGCUAAAUCAGCCUGGCGUUGGUUGUCCAGGUGAAAGGAUGUAGGCAUGUAUCUUAGGCAAAUCCGGGGUACUCUAUGCUGAGAUCUGAUAGCAAGCUGUACUUGUACAGCGAAGUGGUUGAUGCCAUGCUUCCAGGAAAAGUCUCUAAGCUUCAGUUACACAGGAAUCGUACCCGAAACCGACACAGGUGGUCAGGUCGAGUAGACCAAGGCGCUUGAGAGAACUCUGCUGAAGGAACUAGGCAAAAUGGUACCGUAACUUCGGGAGAAGGUACGCUGUUGUUGGUGAUGGAACUCGCUUCCUGAGCUGACGACAGCCGCAGAAACCAGGCCGCUGCAACUGUUUAUUAAAAACAUAGCACUCUGCAAACACGAAAGUGGACGUAUAGGGUGUGAUGCCUGCCCGGUGCUGGAAGGUUAAUUGAUGGGGUUAGCGUAAGCGAAGCUCUUGAUCGAAGCCCCAGUAAACGGCGGCCGUAACUAUAACGGUCCUAAGGUAGCGAAAUUCCUUGUCGGGUAAGUUCCGACCUGCACGAAUGGCAUAAUGAUGGCGGCGCUGUCUCCAGCAGAGGCUCAGUGAAAUCGAAAUCGCUGUGAAGAUGCAGUGUACCCGCGGCUAGACGGAAAGACCCCGUGAACCUUUACUGCAGCUUGACACUGAACUUUGACCUUACUUGUGUAGGAUAGGUGGGAGGCUUUGAAGCUGGAACGCUAGUUCCAGUGGAGCCGUCCUUGAAAUACCACCCUGGUAAUGUUGAGGUUCUAACUCUGUCCCGUGAUCCGGGACGAGGACCGUGUCUGGUGGGUAGUUUGACUGGGGCGGUCUCCUCCUAAAGAGUAACGGAGGAGUACGAAGGUGCGCUCAGCGUGGUCGGAAAUCACGCGUAGAGUAUAAAGGCAAAAGCGCGCUUAACUGCGAGACCCACAAGUCGAGCAGGUACGAAAGUAGGUCUUAGUGAUCCGGUGGUUCUGUAUGGAAGGGCCAUCGCUCAACGGAUAAAAGGUACUCUGGGGAUAACAGGCUGAUACCGCCCAAGAGUUCAUAUCGACGGCGGUGUUUGGCACCUCGAUGUCGGCUCAUCUCAUCCUGGGGCUGAAGCAGGUCCCAAGGGUAUGGCUGUUCGCCAUUUAAAGAGGUACGCGAGCUGGGUUUAGAACGUCGUGAGACAGUUCGGUCCCUAUCUACCGUGGGCGCUGGAAAUUUGAGAGGAUCUGCUCCUAGUACGAGAGGACCAGAGUGGACGAACCUCUGGUGUACCGGUUGUGACGCCAGUCGCAUCGCCGGGUAGCUAUGUUCGGAAGGGAUAACCGCUGAAAGCAUCUAAGCGGGAAGCCUACCUCAAGAUAAGAUUUCCCUAGGACUUUAUGUCCUCUAAAGAGCCGUUCGAGACUAGGACGUUGAUAGGUUGG
This 2832-nucleotide ribosomal RNA is filed under the name Acinetobacter baumannii. Its description in RNAcentral is "partial 23S ribosomal RNA". It matches the Rfam family "Bacterial large subunit ribosomal RNA". The record is from RNAcentral. Lineage: Bacteria; Pseudomonadati; Pseudomonadota; Gammaproteobacteria; Moraxellales; Moraxellaceae.